Myotis lucifugus (little brown bat) is the source of this 771-nucleotide long non-coding RNA. RefSeq lists it as uncharacterized. The transcript has 2 exons. The record is from RefSeq and is a predicted model, not a curated record. Lineage: Eukaryota; Metazoa; Chordata; Mammalia; Chiroptera; Vespertilionidae.
ACCAUGUUGACUGAGGUUUUGCAUUUCUCGUUCUCGACGGUCUAAUUCUGCAGCUUUUCUUUCUAGUUCUUCCUGGCGCUUAAGAAGUUCAGCUUGGGCCAAGGCAUGUUCCUACACAAAAAAUAAUUCUUCAUCAGAGAUCAAACCAGGAGUACAAAGAAGAAAUGUAAACUCAACAAACCAAGGGUGGCACUCACGUGACCACAAAUUAAAGUUAUGAUUUCAUCUUGUGAGACUACGAAUUCAGGUUACUACUGCCUAUAUCCAAGGGAAAUUAAGAAACGACUUCCCUUCCAACCAGCAUUUGGGAACAACUUUCGCGUCCUAGGCAGCGGAGCUCAUGGACAAACCCGGUGUGCUUUUCGGGAGCUACUCGUUUAGCUACUGCACUCAGGGAAGCGCAGAUCAUGAACUCCUCCGUCUCCUCCCUUGGCCGUUCCUGAGCCAGACCCUCCCGGGGCUGCGGCUGAUGAAGGAGGCUGCCUCCGAGAAGGACGGGAGCUCACGUGGGGAGGGAACUGUAUCCUGAUACAGCCCAGAGGACCGGUGACGCACGGGGAGCUUGGAACACAGCCCGGCGCUCCCCUUCCCGGGAGCAGCUAGGUGGGCAGGUGAUCGUCCGCCUGCACUAUUCUUUGACAGGUGUGUUCAUUUUUUACUUCGAUAGCAGACCCUCCGCCUCAGCCUACAUGUCGAGAGAGGGGUGGCAGCGCCACACAAGUAUCUCUGAGCGCAACACAAGUUUAAGAAAUAAAAAUACCACCACCACCA